RNAcentral lists this ribosomal RNA (251 nucleotides) under Escherichia coli. RNAcentral describes it as "partial 23S ribosomal RNA". It matches the Rfam family "Bacterial large subunit ribosomal RNA", at positions 1636 to 1869 of the family's 2925-position model. Lineage: Bacteria; Pseudomonadati; Pseudomonadota; Gammaproteobacteria; Enterobacterales; Enterobacteriaceae. The record is from RNAcentral.
AUCAAAUCGUACCCCAAACCGACACAGGUGGUCAGGUAGAGAAUACCAAGGCGCUUGAGAGAACUCGGGUGAAGGAACUAGGCAAAAUGGUGCCGUAACUUCGGGAGAAGGCACGCUGAUAUGUAGGUGAAGUCCCUCGCGGAUGGAGCUGAAAUCAGUCGAAGAUACCAGCUGGCUGCAACUGUUUAUUAAAAACACAGCACUGUGCAAACACGAAAGUGGACGUAUACGGUGUGACGCCUGCCCGGUGC